This 288-nucleotide unclassified non-coding RNA is filed under the name uncultured fungus. Its description in RNAcentral is "sequence contains ITS1". The record is from RNAcentral. Lineage: Eukaryota; Fungi.
ACCGGGCUGAAUGACCCACGCGCACUGGACAUUGCUUUAGCUAGGCUUAGCCUAAUGGCGCAUUCCGCCAUGCCUGAGGAAGCCUUUGAUCGCCUAAACGAGCGAAUUAGCGAUCAGUCAAUUCGCUCCGUUCUCGCCACACAAUUUCCAGGGCUUCGUCACGUAACGUCCAGCGAACUGCUCGCUCGGGUUGGCAACAUCAGGACAGUGUCGUCGAAGCUCUUCAUUAUUCGCCAGUGGUGUCAACACAACGGCACAGACGCGGGUGCCUCUGAAGUAAUCGGACGU